RNAcentral lists this ribosomal RNA (253 nucleotides) under uncultured bacterium. RNAcentral describes it as "partial 16S ribosomal RNA". It matches the Rfam family "Bacterial small subunit ribosomal RNA", at positions 524 to 776 of the family's 1533-position model. The record is from RNAcentral.
UACAGAGGGUGCAAGCGUUAUCCGGAUUCACUGGGUUUAAAGGGUGCGUAGGUGGGUUGGUAAGUCAGUGGUGAAAUCCCCGAGCUUAACUUGGGAACUGCCAUUGAUACUAUCAGUCUUGAAUACCGUGGAGGUCAGUGGAAUAUGUCAUGUAGCGGUGAAAUGCUUAGAUAUGACAUAGAACACCAAUUGCGAAGGCAGCUGGCUACACGAAUAUUGACACUGAGGCACGAAAGCGUGGGGAUCAAACAGG